GUCCCAGGUUAACUCAGUAGGUAGAGCACGAAACUCUUAAUCUCAGGGUUGUGGGUUCAAGUCCCAUAUUGGCCA
This is a non-coding RNA of Podarcis lilfordi (Lilford's wall lizard), 75 nucleotides long. Lineage: Eukaryota; Metazoa; Chordata; Lepidosauria; Squamata; Lacertidae. The record is from the annotation of a GenBank genome assembly.